CAAAGGCACUAAUAAUCGUCAAGAUUCCGUCUAUGUGGCUAUCGAGAAGAGUGAAGAAGAGAAGAGAAGGAAGAAGAGACUUGUGUGAGAUGAAGAGAAGUAACCAGGGGGCUAGAUAAAGAAGUGGGAGGACCUUCUUGUGAAGAAAGAAGAGAAGAAAGAGGGCCAAAUCACAAAGUGCAGAUGAGAGGAGGGGAACAAAAUCCCUAGGCGCUGGAUGGAUCCGAUCGGGCCUGGCUACUCAACUCUCUCCCUCACACCCCCUUCUCCACAUCCGACUACCGCCGCGGCCAGGCCGGCGUGGCAGCACGCCACCAGCACCUCCCACCACAUCACCACCUUGUGCCAUCCACCAGCGCCACCAUCUUCUUCUCCUUCCCCGAGUCCACCAUCAUCCAUCCACACCGCCGCCACCAGCACCACAGCGCUUCCCCGCACCUCGCGCCCCUGCUGCUCUUCUUCUUCUCCAAACCUUGCUGCUGCUUCUUCUUCCCCAAACUUUGCUGCUCCCCUUUCCUAGCGCCUCAACCUGCUGCUCCUUCUCCUUCGCCUGCUGCUAGUUCCUUUCCCCACGCCUCUGCUGCUCCUCCUCUUAAAACUGUUGCUGCUCUUCUUUCCCAUGUUCCUACUCUGCACUCUGCUUCUCACCUCCGUUGCUGCUGUUUCUCUUCUGAACCUCUGCUACUGUUCAGCUUUGAACCUCUGCAUCUGUGUUGAAUGUGCUUUCAGUGUUCUUGAGAUGUGUAAAACUAUUCAAUAUUCAGCUUACAAUUUGUGAAACUUUUGUGAUUCAGUGGUGUCUCUAUAUUAUACAUAUAGCUUGUGUACUGCUUGCUGCAGUAACUUUUAGUUUGUAAGUUCCUGUGAUAGCUCCAGUACAUGUGAUUUUUAUGUUGUCUCAAGUUCCUGUUAUAUAUAUACAUAUGUGUGUGUCUGUGAUGUGAUACAUUUAUGUUCUGUCCUACAACCUUAUCUUUUAGCAUUUUCUUUCUCAAGCAUAACAGAAAUAUCAAAAAGAAAGAGUAAAGAUAAUCUUCAUCUCCCUUUGCUCCUUUGUCAUUUUCUUUGUUGAUGAUCCUUGUUAGUGUUAGGUUUAUUUUCUGUUUUCAUCAUUCAGUUGGGUCACCUAGCUUUAGUUGAACGUAGUUGCCGUCGCCUAGUCCCUGUGGAGAACACGACAUUCGCAGUUCGGGCAAAAUAUCCUGUUGUACUUACUUUUGAUCAUUUUGGCGCCGUUGCCAGGGAUUAGCAUCGAGUGACCGUGUUAGGCUAUAGACUAGGUUUUUCUUGUUUUCAUUUUGUGUCAUAUAUUUGUGAUAUAUCUCUAGCCACUAACCCCUAUUUUAGUUAGUAUCUUUUUCUCUUCUUUUUCUUUUUUGCAGGUUGUAUUAUCCUCUUGGAAAUGGCAUUCUAUUCAGAUCAUCAGGCUUAUGCGAGCAACACUACAAACAGCACGGAAAGUGUUCAAGAAUUGAUAAGUAAGAUUUCCCAUCAAUUAGAUGAUUUAGCUCGGCAGUGAGAAGUAAUUUUUGAGGAUAGGCCUAUCUCUUAUGAUCCUUAUUCUAGAGGCCAUCCUUAUGUUGCUCCUACCUGCCAUAUUUGUGGAUUUCAGGGCCAUUCACCUGCUGAAUGUCAGUGUGAUUACUCCCAUCCUCCGGAUUGAUUUGGCAUGAGCUUCGCUCAACAGCAUAGCUCAUACCAAAACAAUUACUCACAUGGGUGGCCUGAAAACUCGAAUAUGUCAUAUAGGAGCAACAACCCUGAGAUCUCAUCGUUUGCCUCUAGUUAUCCAUUGCAGGGAUUUAGGUACAAUGAGGAGAACCACAACUAUGCUCCACAACAGUCUUAUUCAGCUCCUAUUCAUAUACCUCUUCACCAGGAUAUGUGUCCAAUGGAGUUAAAUGGUCCUCCAUUUGGUCAACCAACAACUUCAGCACCUAAUGAGCCGGUAGAGCAAUCUCAUGUGCAAGUGCCCACACAAGAUGAAUUUGAUGAUAUAGACAAGCUCACAUUGCUUUGUCUCGAGUUCACUUGGAGUGUUGAAGAUGAUCCAAUUAGGCCGAUGAUACUAGAUGAAAUGAAGAAUAUCAAGAGUGGAAAAGAGCUAGUGGAUGAAGUAAGGAAGAUUAAGAAGAACAUCAAUGCUGGUAGUACUAUCUCAUCUCUCCUUGAGCUGAGUGCUGCUGAGAUUUCUAGUUAUACCUGUGAGGUUCCAACACCGUCACAUUUAGCUGAUCAAGAUAGCGAGAGCCCAGAGGAAGAGAUACCUCAGAUUGAAGAUGUACUCGAAGCCAAGGCACAAGAUGAUCCAGAGCUCAAAUGCCCAAGUGAUCAAGUUGAAGAUCCAAUGUCUAUCCCUCCUGAAGAAGUAAAAGAAGCUAUUGUAGAUGAAGAUGAAGAACCUGAGAUUCAUUUGCCUAUUUUCAUACAAGAGCGUGAUGUGUCAGGUUUAUCUAAUCCUCUUAAUGACAUGUCUUCAUAUGAAUUGUUUGCUAGUACCUUGAAUUGCAUGAUGCCAUCACUUAAGGUAGAUUUGAAAAACUAUUUGCUUGGACAUGAUCAUACACACCCUGUUAGUGGCAUUGCUCAUAUCUCUGUUCAUGAUACUUAUGUUCCUGAUGCUAUACCCAUGCUUAAUGAAACGUGUGAUUCUAAUACUAGCAUUGAGCUUACUGAUUUGUACCAUCCUAAACAUGUGCUUUAUAGCUAUGCUUAUGUAAUUGGGUAUUCUAUUGAUGAUUUAGAGGGCAUUACCCCUGUCACUUGUAUCGCCUCCUUGGUUGAGUGCUCUUUCAGGUUGUUGCUUGUGCACGAUCCACUACAUGUUGAUCAAGUUCGAGAUGACAUUCCCUGGGACCCCGGUGGACCCAUGGCAUGGGGAUGAGGAGAAGCAAGGGGCACAUACGAAGAAGAGUGAAGCUGGAUCAUGCAUGAGGAAGCAAAAGGAGAGGAGUCACAAUGCACGAGGAUGUGAGAGUGAUCGAGCAAGACCUACAUCAUAUAAGCCCGGUGAGCUGUUUCAUGACCCCAAUCUGAAUACCAUCAUACAUUAUACAUGCUGUAAUCAACUGCUAUUUGGGUCGCUUGAGCAAUUUCUUAAAUAUCGUCCCACUGAAUUUACCUUCGACAUAGGGUGAUUGAUGUGAAUAUGUGAACUGAGUGUCGAAUGCCUUGUAAACUAGUGAUCUAUACAAUGCUUGCUUUGCUGAAAGUAGUGGAAGCUAUUAGUUUUGAGUGCUCAAAUCCUUAGUACACUAGAAAACUUAAUCAUUUACUGCAUUUACUAUGAUUCACCUAGAUCAUCAAGUGUCAGAUGCUGAGUUUGUGCCUAAUGUGUUCACAUUGAGAGCAAUCACCUAACCACUAUGGAUUAGCAUGCUAUGUUCCCUGGAUCGGUAGCAUGUGAACCAGACAUGGAGAAGUGAUGAUUCCUAUUUUUGUGCUUAUGUGUUGUUCAUUUAAGAUAAGUAAUAAUGAAUAAAUAAGUCUGGCUACCUACAGUAGCAUGUCAUGUUCCCGGGAUCGGUGGCAUGUGAAAUCGGGUUAGCUUGGGCAGUAAUUAAUAAUAAUAAUGAUGUAAUUGUCGAACCAGGUGUAUACCAUGUUCUCGGGAUCGGUGGUAUGUUCCUUUGGGGAGACAAACAAAAAAAUUAAUAAAAAUUGGUUGAGCCAGGUGUAUACCAUGUUCUCGGGAUCGGUGGUAUGUUCCUUCGGUGAGACUAAUAAAAUAAUAUGUGUGUUUCUUUCAAAUUCAAUAAGUGGUUCAACCACAAAGUCAUAUUUCUGCAAAUAAGAGAUUUAAUUCUAGUUCUUUUUGUUCUCGGGAUCAUGCUCUCUUUAGGAACCAUUUGGCAGUCAUCAUUUAAACUUGUUGAUCCUCUUUUAUCACUGUAAAAGUUUAAAAUGGUCAUGCUUACUAGUAUCCUACUGCUUUGUAGCACUUCUAACCAUUAAUUUUCACUAGCUAAGUCUGAAGCAUGCCUUGUUUGGAGAUCUAUUUUACAAGGACAUUCCUUACUUAGUUUAUUGUUCAUUAUCUUGCCUUUGUCAUAUUCCUUUGCUUGACGACAAGCAAAGAUUUAAGUGGGGGGGAACUUGAUAAGUAUAUUUCACAUAUAUAAUUUUGGUACUCAAAUAUAGCAUCUAUCGUGACAUAUUCGUCCAUUCUUGCCAUGAUUGAUUGAAUAUUGCUUGAUAAUCAUCAAAAAGGAUCAUUUACUAGUCUUUGGUCUAUCUUGCAGAAAUGUGCGCAAAGGCACUAAUAAUCGUCAAGAUUCCGUCUAUGUGGCUAUCGAGAAGAGUGAAGAAGAGAAGAGAAGGAAGAAGAGACUUGUGUGAGAUGAAGAGAAGUAACCAGGGGGCUAGAUAAAGAAGUGGGAGGACCUUCUUGUGAAGAAAGAAGAGAAGAAAGAGGGCCAAAUCACAAAGUGCAGAUGAGAGGAGGGGAACAAAAUCCCUAGGC
RNAcentral lists this long non-coding RNA (4462 nucleotides) under Triticum aestivum (bread wheat). RNAcentral describes it as "long non-coding RNA (TAES_LNC003508)". The record is from RNAcentral. Lineage: Eukaryota; Viridiplantae; Streptophyta; Magnoliopsida; Poales; Poaceae.